CUAGAUUACAGGCCUCCCAGCGCUGGGUUUUUACACCCAGAUCUGGGUUUUUUGGUCGUCAUCUGGGUGUCUGGGUGUAUUUUUCUUUUAAAUGACGGUACUGGUAUUGUACGCGUUCAUUACCAGUAUUGAACGCGUUCAUUACCAGACAAAGCAAUGGUUCCCAACUUUUCGGCGCUCACUACACAGCACCGACUGGGAACGCUGCGUCAGUUGUUUGGUGCAGAGUUAUAACGCGUAACGGAGAAAUUUGCCAGGAAAGUUUAGGGCUCGAAUUAGGAAAAUUAAAUAAGGAAUACAUCAUAGUACAUACAGUGUGUGUAUAAUCAUAAUGUAGUGUGCAGUGUGCACAUUGCACAAAAAAAUCUUUUCUCUAAUCGUAAUGAGAAUUAGGAUAUACCUACCUGAAAGGCUGAAAAGAGAAAAAAAAAUUUUAAAAUCAUUUAAAUAUGAGUGGUCCAGACUCCAGAGUGGAAUAGAAAUGAAUGUGAAGAAGCUAUGAGUAGGUACCGCAGCAUUGGACUAGGUAGUCUUCAAACUCUCAGAGGCUCCCACAAAUCAGAGAGAAAAAAAAAAGAAGAAGCUAUGAGCUAUUUUCCUUUAUGAAAUUGUGUCUCAUCUU
Molecule: long non-coding RNA, 622 nt
Organism: Hyalella azteca
Lineage: Eukaryota; Metazoa; Arthropoda; Malacostraca; Amphipoda; Hyalellidae
Exons: 3
Source: RefSeq, a predicted model, not a curated record